Molecule: ribosomal RNA, 786 nt
Filed under: Triticum aestivum (bread wheat)
Lineage: Eukaryota; Viridiplantae; Streptophyta; Magnoliopsida; Poales; Poaceae
Description: partial small subunit ribosomal RNA
Source: RNAcentral
AUGGGCCGCGUGAUCAGGGCGCAGCGCAAGGGCGCGGGCUCGGUGUUCAAGUCGCACACGCACCACCGCCGGGGCCCGGCGCGGUUCCGGGCGCUGGACUACGGCGAGCGGAACGGGUACCUCAAGGGCAUGGUGACGGACAUCGUGCACGACCCGGGCCGCGGCGCACCGCUGGCCCGCGUCGACUUCCGCGAUCCCGUCCGCUACAAGCACCGCAAGGAGCUCUUCGUGGCCGCCGAGGGCAUGUACACGGGCCAGUCCGUCUACUGCGGUUGCCGCGCCGUCGUCGCCAUCGGCAACGUGCUCCCGCUCGCCUCGCUGCCCGAGGGCGCCGUCGUCUGCAACGUCGAGCAGCACGUCGGCGACCGCGGCGCCCUCGCCCGCGCCUCGGGUGACUACGCCAUCGUCAUCAGCCACAACUCCGACAACGACACCACCAGGAUCAAGCUGCCGUCGGGGGCGAAGAAGGUGGUGCAGAGCGGGUGCAGGGCGAUGGUGGGGCAGGUGGCCGGCGGCGGGAGGACGGAGAAGCCGCUGCUCAAGGCGGGCAGGGCGUACCACAAGUUCAGGGUGAAGAGGAACAGCUGGCCCAGGGUGCGCGGCGUGGCCAUGAACCCUGUCGACCACCCGCACGGAGGAGGCAACCACCAGCACAUCGGACACGCGUCCACGGUCCGCCGCGACGCGCCUCCCGGGCAGAAGGUUGGACAGGUCGGGGCGCGGAGGACCGGCAGGCUCAGGGGACAGGCCGCCGUCAACGCAUCCAAGGACAGCAGGACCGCUUAG